AUUGAACGCUGGCGGCAGGCCUAACACAUGCAAGUCGAACGGUAACAGGAAGAAGCUUGCUUCUUUGCUGACGAGUGGCGGACGGGUGAGUAAUGUCUGGGAAACUGCCUGAUGGAGGGGGAUAACUACUGGAAACGGUAGCUAAUACCGCAUAACGUCGCAAGACCAAAGAGGGGGACCUUCUGGCCUCUUGCCAUCGGAUGUGCCCAGAUGGGAUUAGCUAGUAGGUGGGGUAACGGCUCACCUAGGCGACGAUCCCUAGCUGGUCUGAGAGGAUGACCAGCCACACUGGAACUGAGACACGGUCCAGACUCCUACGGGAGGCAGCAGUGGGGAAUAUUGCACAAUGGGCGCAAGCCUGAUGCAGCCAUGCCGCGUGUAUGAAGAAGGCCUUCGGGUUGUAAAGUACUUUCAGCGGGGAGGAAGGGAGUAAAGUUAAUACCUUUACUCAUUGACGUUACCCGCAGAAGAAGCACCGGCUAACUCCGUG
RNAcentral lists this ribosomal RNA (490 nucleotides) under uncultured bacterium. Its description in RNAcentral is "partial 16S ribosomal RNA". It matches the Rfam family "Bacterial small subunit ribosomal RNA", at positions 30 to 507 of the family's 1533-position model. The record is from RNAcentral.